Molecule: long non-coding RNA, 2338 nt
Filed under: Nicotiana tabacum (common tobacco)
Lineage: Eukaryota; Viridiplantae; Streptophyta; Magnoliopsida; Solanales; Solanaceae
Description: long non-coding RNA (NTAB_LNC009778)
Source: RNAcentral
CCAACACAACCCUCGCAACCCUCAAAUCCCUUUUGCCCCUCAUUCCCUCUAUUUCUCCAGCCUCCUUCCAUUCCCUUCCUUGCCCUUACUCCUCUUUUCCGAUUUUCCCCUUUCUCUCCUUCUCUCUCAGUCUACCCCUUUUACCCGCCAUAUUCAAAUAUUUCUCACACCCUUUUCUCUGAUUUCAAUUUGGAGCCCUUUUCUCCAUCCUUUUUCCUCAUUUGGAUCAAUUUUGGGCGAAAUCUGUGAUGGGUUCUGAUGGGUUUUGUGUUUUCUUGGUGUUUUGAUUGAAAAAGCUCGAAUCUUUGAGUUUUAGUUCAGUUUGGGUUUUAGGGCUGCUCGACGAAGUCUUGAUCUUGAUUUCAAAGAGUUAGUCUUUUGAUUUUUGGCUCUCUCUAAAUUGAUGGUGAGUUUGGUGUUUUAUUCGGUUCCUGUUACUAGUUUGGUUUGUGGUUUUUGAUGUUGUGAUAAGUAGAUUGUUGGGACUAACUCUUUUACUGUAUUGUUUGUUUUAGGGAUUUGUACAGUUAAAUUAUAUUGAGACUUGUUGGUUUUAAUUCAUUCUUGUAGCUGAAAGGAGCUGCUAUUUCACGGAGUUUGAUCAGUGGUUUGGACUAAUAUAGUGCUGGGAGCAGGUCAGACUGUAUUCUUUUAACUUUUGGGUUUUGAUUUAUCCCGUCUUUUAUUUUUAUGAUUUUGAAUACUGAUAAUAGGUUUUAGGUUAUUAUGCUUACUUCUCCCUGCACACUCUCUAGUUCAAUUAGCUAAAUCAUGAAUUAUGUCCACUUUUGAAGCAGGCCUUAGUGAAGUCAGCUGAAGUAAAAAGUAGCGAUAUUUGUUAGUCUUGAGUUGAUACUUUAUCAAGUGAGAGAAGAGUUUAUCUUCCGUUGGUACAUUUGGUGCCCGCAUAUUUCUCAGACAGGACAGCAUAUUGAUAGAAGUGUAGCUACUUUUGCAGAAAUAAAUGGCAAACCAUGAGUUGAUCCUUGGCCAAAAUCACAAUUUAGGUGUUGGUGGUGAGAACCAGCAAAUAGUGUUUGACCAUACUCAUGAUAUGGGCAUAAGCCAGAACCAUGGAUUGGAACUGGCAGAGAACCAUAACGAUGAGGACGAGAUGGGUAUAGUGCAGAGCCAAGAUCAUGACGGGAACCACGAGCAUGAGUAUGAGCACGAGGAUGGUUUACCAAAUGAGCGGAAGCUUGAGCAUGAAAACCAGGAGUUGCCUAAUGAAAACAAUGAGUUAGAUAUUUCUGAACAAGAUGAGUUAGGCAUCGAGGAAAACCAAGAGCUUGGUGAUAACAUGGAAUUAGCUGUGGUUGAGAGCCAUGAUAUGGGUGUUGAACAACCUGAACAUGUAUUUGAAGUCCAUGAUGGCCAGAUGGUUCUUGCUUCGUCAGGCCCUGUCAUUCAGGCCCGAACUAUUUCAGCAACACCUGAUUAUGAGCUACACGUGGGACAAGAAUUCCCUGAUGUCAAAAGCUGCCGAAGGGCUUUACGUGACACAGCCAUUGCUCUUCACUUCGAGAUUCAGACCAUAAAAUCUGAUAAAACUCGUUUUACUGCUAAGUGUGCCAGUGAGGGCUGCCCUUGGCGCAUUCAUGCUGCCAAACUUCCAGGUGUACCCACAUUCACUAUCAGAACAAUUCAUGACAACCAUACAUGUGGAGGAAUCGCUCAUCUUGGCCACCAGCAAGCCUCAGUUCAGUGGGUGGCCAACUCUGUGGAGCAACGGCUUCGGGAAAACCCAAAUUGCAAGCCAAAAGAGAUCCUUGAAGAAAUUCACCGGACUCAUGGAAUCACCCUGUCGUACAAACAAGCUUGGCGUGGAAAGGAACGAAUAAUGGCUGCUAUGCGCGGUUCCUUUGAAGAAGGUUAUCGCCUUCUUCCUCAGUACUGUGAACAAGUUAAAAGGACCAAUCCAGGGAGUAUAGCAUCAGUUUACGCAAAUCCUGCUGAUAAUUGCUUUCAGCGGCUUUUUAUAUCAUUUCAGGCUUCUAUUUUUGGUUUUCUAAAUGCUUGUCGCCCUCUUCUUGGGCUUGAUCGGACGUUCUUGAAAAGUAAAUAUCUUGGUACUUUACUUUUAGCUACUGGCUUUGAUGGAGAUGGCGGCCUUUUUCCGCUAGCAUUUGGUGUUGUUGAUGAGGAAAAUGAUGAUAAUUGGAUGUGGUUUCUCUCUGAACUUCAUACCUUGCUAGAGGUCAAUACAGAAAACAUGCCAAGGCUUACCAUCUUGUCUGACAGGCAGAAGGGCAUUGUAGAUGGUGUUGAAGCAAAUUUCCCCACUGCUUUCCAUGGUUUUUGCAUGCGUCAUUUGAGUGAAAGCUUCCGUAAGGAAUUC